Molecule: long non-coding RNA, 933 nt
Filed under: Ananas comosus (pineapple)
Lineage: Eukaryota; Viridiplantae; Streptophyta; Magnoliopsida; Poales; Bromeliaceae
Description: long non-coding RNA (ACOM_LNC015507)
Source: RNAcentral
AUAUAUACAGUUAGGGUCUGUUUGUUGCACGAAGGUGGGGUGGAAGUGGGGAGGGGAAAGUAAUUUUCGGUGAAAAUUGACCACUUUCGUUGUUUGGUCCAUCGUAAUUUUAUUACGCCCGAAAGUCUAGUUCAUCCAAAAUAAUGAAAUUAACUUCACCCUCCUAUAGGGCAAAGUCAAUUUCAGUGAGGUUAAAAGAGGCAAGAGUGGAAAUUGAUUUGUUAGAGUUACUUUUUUCUCUACCCUUUCCUCUCCCGAGUCCCAGACCCAACUCCACAUCGCCAUUUUUUUUUCUCAGCAGACACCACAAAAAAAAAAAAAAAAAUCUGGUAAGGAUGUAACCAUACAUAUUGGAUGUGAUAUUAUUAUUUUUGGUGUGAUAAUGAUGUGCACAAUAUAUUUUGUUAUUUUGGGUGUGAUAUUUUGAGCAAUGCUAAUUUCAUUUCAUCCAAAUAUAUUCAAUUGUAGAAAUAAUUAAAUUUUUUAUUUUGAUUAUAUGUCUAAAAUAUAAUCAAACUUGGUUAGGUAAGUUUUAAUAUAUUUUUUGUUUAAUUUGUAUAUUUAGAAAAAGAUGAAAUAUGAAUUUGUUAAAUGUUAAUAAUUUUUUAACUUUAGAAUUUUAUUUGUUGUAUUAUUAUAAUUUAUAUGCAAACAAAUAUAUAUAUAUAUAUAUAAUUAUAUUAAUUUUUAUUUAUUAUAAUUUAUUAUUCACUAAGUUACAAAAUAGAGAAUGAUAUUACUUCGGAGGUAAGUAUACUGGGGAUGGAGAGCUACACCUUUUAAGUCAUCUACUUCCUACCAAACAAACAAUAGAACUCGCAGAACUGCACUUCCACAUCUAGAAACAAACAGCGGAAGUGAAUUAAUUUUCACCCCAAGUCUACUUACGUUGAAACAAACAUGCCCUUAAUGAAUCAGUUUUGAACACUCAGU